AAAUUGAAGAGUUUGAUCAUGGCUCAGAUUGAACGCUGGCGGCAGGCCUAACACAUGCAAGUCGAACGGUAGCACAGAGAGCUUGCUCUCGGGUGACGAGUGGCGGACGGGUGAGUAAUGUCUGGGAAACUGCCCGAUGGAGGGGGAUAACUACUGGAAACGGUAGCUAAUACCGCAUAACGUCGCAAGACCAAAGUGGGGGACCUUCGGGCCUCACACCAUCGGAUGUGCCCAGAUGGGAUUAGCUAGUAGGUGGGGUAACGGCUCACCUAGGCGACGAUCCCUAGCUGGUCUGAGAGGAUGACCAGCCACACUGGAACUGAGACACGGUCCAGACUCCUACGGGAGGCAGCAGUGGGGAAUAUUGCACAAUGGGCGCAAGCCUGAUGCAGCCAUGCCGCGUGUAUGAAGAAGGCCUUCGGGUUGUAAAGUACUUUCAGCGAGGAGGAAGGCGUUGUGGUUAAUAACCACAGCGAUUGACGUUACUCGCAGAAGAAGCACCGGCUAACUCCGUGCCAGCAGCCGCGGUAAUACGGAGGGUGCAAGCGUUAAUCGGAAUUACUGGGCGUAAAGCGCACGCAGGCGGUUUGUUAAGUCAGAUGUGAAAUCCCCGGGCUCAACCUGGGAACUGCAUUUGAAACUGGCAAGCUUGAGUCUCGUAGAGGGGGGUAGAAUUCCAGGUGUAGCGGUGAAAUGCGUAGAGAUCUGGAGGAAUACCGGUGGCGAAGGCGGCCCCCUGGACAAAGACUGACGCUCAGGUGCGAAAGCGUGGGGAGCAAACAGGAUUAGAUACCCUGGUAGUCCACGCCGUAAACGAUGUCUACUUGGAGGUUGUGCCCUUGAGGCGUGGCUUCCGGAGCUAACGCGUUAAGUAGACCGCCUGGGGAGUACGGCCGCAAGGUUAAAACUCAAAUGAAUUGACGGGGGCCCGCACAAGCGGUGGAGCAUGUGGUUUAAUUCGAUGCAACGCGAAGAACCUUACCUGGUCUUGACAUCCACGGAAGUUUUCAGAGAUGAGAAUGUGCCUUCGGGAACCGUGAGACAGGUGCUGCAUGGCUGUCGUCAGCUCGUGUUGUGAAAUGUUGGG
This 1087-nucleotide ribosomal RNA is filed under the name Salmonella enterica subsp. enterica serovar Kentucky. Its description in RNAcentral is "bacterial SSU rRNA". It matches the Rfam family "Bacterial small subunit ribosomal RNA", at positions 1 to 1079 of the family's 1533-position model. Lineage: Bacteria; Pseudomonadati; Pseudomonadota; Gammaproteobacteria; Enterobacterales; Enterobacteriaceae. The record is from RNAcentral.